Non-coding RNA from Malus domestica (apple), 4375 nucleotides. Lineage: Eukaryota; Viridiplantae; Streptophyta; Magnoliopsida; Rosales; Rosaceae. The record is from RefSeq and is a predicted model, not a curated record.
UCAGAUAUAGCUACGGAGCUCUUGCACAAUCUAUGCGGGUUUGAAUCCUUGAUGUUUCCGAGCUUGAUUCGAUGGCGUUUCAGCAGCAGAUCCGAGUCUUAUGAAGGCUGAAGGUGCUCUACACCGAAUCUAUGUGAAUGCUACAAUUGUAAUUUGAUGACUGGGAAUCUGAAGAGAUGGGUGUUUAUGGGGUUAAUUGGGUACGCAUCGGAUGUAUGAGAUGUCGGGACUAAAGGCUCGGUGGAAGAGCUGAGUCCUGGACCGAUCUUUGUCAUCCGGCCUUUGCCAUGGCAGGUGCGCUUGCAUGGCAGGUCAAAAAAAUCUCAAUAAAAAAAAUAACAUCGUUUGUGGUUUGGAGGGGAGACAGCAUGGGUCUUUUUUGGCCCAGGGUCUCCCCUCCGGUGUGUGGUGUGCCCUCCUUUCUCUGUUGUGUUGUGUUUGUUUUUGCUCUACUGCUCACAUAUGCAUUUGAAUUCGGAUUCAGCACAGCAACGACGACGGCAUAUCUCACCGCCAAAGGUACUAUCUGACUACGCCUAUUUCAAUUGAUAUGAAUCUAUCUAAUCAUGUUACUAUCACAUCUCCGGUUACACAGCAAACCCAUUUUUAUUGUGUACAAUUAAUUUGCCUCGUGCUCAAACCACUUCAACUUAAUUUAGGGGAUUAAUCAUAUUUUUAGAGUAAUGCUAGGAGAUUAAAUUGUGUAAAUUAAAUGAUAAAGAAGUUGAUGAGUGGAUUAUUUCUUAAUUGUUGAUAAAUGUGUCUAUUUUAAGGAAAAUUAAUAAAAUGAUAUUGAAAACUUUGAAUUUUAAAGAUAAUAAAAUAAAAGAAAUUUUAACGAAAAGCUAUUGGUAUUGCAUAUUGUAAUGAAAAAUCAUAUUUUUACAUUAAAAAGUUAAUUCUGUUACUAUUUAUUUUUAUUUUAAGGAAAACUAAUGAAAAUGACUUGAAAACUUUGAGUUUUAACAAAAAUGACAAACUAAAGAGUAAAGUAAAUAGUAUCUGAAUUAAUUUUUGUGUAAAAAUAUGGUUUUUAUUAAAGUAAACAAUACCGGGAUAUUUUUCGUUAAAAAUCUCUAUUUUAACAUUAUAUAGUUUGUAAAUUUAAUCUUUCUAGUAUUAAGUCCAACAUCUAAUCUUGUUUUAAAAACGGAUGAAACCAAAUAUAACUGGGUAUCCUAAAUAUAACUAGGUUGUUAGAGAUAUUAUAUUGUGUAAAAUAAAACAUGAAAAAUGAUUGGAGUAUUACUUAAUACUGAUUAACAUGUUUUUUUUUUAUAUUAUUGAUAGAUGAUUUAAUUUGUAAAUUUAGUUUAUAAAUAUGGCCUUCCUAGUAUUAUUAAAUUGCAGUGUUCCUUCAAACCGCUAAACUGAUUUUCAAAGUAGUAGUAAGUUAUAAGACAGUAGUUACAAUUGUUACCAAUUAAUAUGUUACACUCGGUGGAUCUAAAACCUUAACGGAUAUGGAUUUUUACCAUGUCUGGCUUAAUGUUCAAAUUAACCUAGAAUGUUGGUAAAUAAAUUUUAAUUUUGUAAGGCUUGAGCACUCGUUGUAAUAUAACCUACGUUGUUAUUGUGAUUCAUAUUUAUGAAACUGUUCAUGCUUGCAAUCUUUUCCAAUAUCGCCUCGUGCUUUUGUUACGACACUCCGGUGUAUGAGCGGAAAUUUUCAUUACGUGUUGCUGUGUGAGUUGAUGCUUAAGUUUUAUUUUGUAUACUAAUUGCGGGAGGGUAUUGAUUGCGAUCGAUGUUAUGAUGUAUUCUUGGAUAGGAUGCUGUAUGGAUCCUAUGUAAUUUUGUUGCCUGUGGCUGCUACUGCUUUAAGAUUUGGAAAUUGUAUACCCCUUAGAUGGCAUUAAGGUCAUUUUCAAUGAAGAGGGUUAUUGGGUCAAAGAGAACUUUCUGGUUUUCUUUCGGUUGGAGAUGGUCCAAGAAGUUGGAUUGGCGGGCCACUGAGUUCUCUCUUAUCUAUGAAGCCGGAGGCCUAUUUGUUUCCGUUCAAUUGCAAUCUCGAAUACAUGCAUGCUUGGCUGUGGAAAUGAUGAAAUCCCGUCUGCAAUCUCUACUUGGGGAUCUUGAGGUGAAUAAUGAAAUGAGUUUGGCUUCCCUUCGUCUUUUACAACUUAUUGUGAGGAAUACUUGAUUCAAACAUUUUAUGCCAAGAUAAAGGAUUUUGGUAUGAUAAAUUUUUAGUCUAAAUUAUAUUAGUAAUGUUAAAUUUUUAGGCGAGCAAAGAAUUUUGGUAUGUUAAAUUUGUGAACCUGCUCUUUUUUGGGAGAUUUUUCAGCAUAUUCAGAUCACAAGAUAGCCACACCACACGAUAGAUGGAAAUGGAUAUUGUGAAAGAUUUUUGUGAAUUAGACAUGCAACUCUUACUUGUAUUAUAUAAGUUGUAUUAUUUAAGGGUGAGUUUGGUAUUGUUAUGCUUUGAAAAAAAAAAAAUGGUUUUUAUUGUACUGUCGUACUGUGAGAAUAAACAGUUAUCAAGUAAAAUUGUUGAGUGUUUGAUUAACUAUUAUAUAAAUUGCUGCGAAUUUUUUUGAAUGACUAAAAAUAAUAAGAUUUUAAUGUGAUCUUACAUUUCCAUUUUAAUUUUGUCAUUGGCAACCGGUUUUUAUUUUUUAUUUUUUUAAACACGUUUAAUGUUAUAAUUAAUAAACUAUUAUUUUUAAAGAACCAUAAUUUUAAAUCAAUCGUUAUUUUUAUUGUGGUCUUUUUCUUUUCGAACAUUAGUGCUGGGUUUUUACCUCUUGAGAAUUUCUAUGUCGUAUGCCACUUGAAAAACAAAUUUCGUGGCUUCUGCUGCAAUUUUUUUUUACUACGACAAAAAUAUCAAAUGAGUCAGAUCAAAGUAUGCUUUAAUAUUAUUGAAAUUUGGUUUAAACAAUGGCUGCACAUAGUUGCUUCCAUUUUUUUCACCUAAUAACAAAGUAUGCUCGAGUCUUAAUUGAAUUUCUUGACUUGUUUGAAAUGAAGAUAUGUAAGAGCAAGUUCAUCCCAAGGGGUAGGUUGGCUCAAAGCACAAAUGAUGGACCGGCACUCCCCAGAAGUCCUCCACCCCAUCCUAAUAGGCUGGCAUCCAGCCAAAGCCAGGCCGUAGGCUGGCCUAAAAUGUGCUGAGCAAUUAGCUAGCCUCUGUGACGUAAAGUUGGCGUUAGCAUGAUGUCAUAGCACAUUGAAAUUUUUUUUUCGUCUUGCGAGUGGAAGCACGCGGGCGUAGGCAUGCGUUCCCGACAAAAAAAAGGCUAUGGGGUCUACCGUUGUAGUCGUGGUAGAGGAGGCGGGGUAGACACCAUUUGGCUCGUUCUAGGUCCAAUGGCUAGUUUUCUGGAUCGUUAGAUUUUCAAUGGUAAAAAAAAUUUGAAAAUCAUAUCCAACGGCUAGUGACGUGGUGAUUUCUGAGUCGUUCGAUCCAGGGCACAAUGGUCAGAAUUAGUACCGUUGGCCACGUGUCAACAUUUGGGCUGUUGGAUUUGAGUCUUUUUCAAAUCCAAUAGUCCAAAUUAAUUAACUUAAUUAAAAUUAAGAAAAAUUGUUUUAAAGAUACAGAAAAGUAAAAAAAAAAAUUUAAUUCCUAACCAUCAUCUUCCACCUUACACCACAUUUCAAUAUUUUUAAAAUUUCAAUUUACUUUUUUGUGGAAAAAAUGGCUACGUGGAAGCUUAUCGAAGAUGUUACGUUGUGUCAAUGCUGGGUUUAAAUUACUCAUGACUCGCUUAUGGGUAAUGAGAUGGAGUUGCAAGAAAUUUGGGUUUUCGAAGGUACUCAUUGGUGUACAGGGCUUCGAUUGCGGAGCGAAAUCGCAUCAGGGGCUCAAGAACAGUUGUUUUUCCCAUCCUCACUAUCUCAACCAUUUGAUCUACAGAUGCUAUAUAUAUAAGAAUAUGUAAGGAAGCCGUGAUUUUUUGUUCAGGAAGAAGAGUUAGAACAUGAAAAGCAUCUUUUUUUUGCACAAAGUAUGGACCAUGGUUGCAAAUAGCACUCAUGAUUUUGUCGAACAAACUUCGUUGCAUUCUAAAACGACAUAUAAAAAUAUGUUCAAGGAAUACAGUGUAGGGGAUAAAAUAAUAUUCCAAGAGAUCUUUACCUUCUCUUUCCCUCUUUCUAUUAAAGUUUGCGGCGCGUCUAGGUUUGGCUAUCUAAUCCACAGCUUCCAUGACAUGACGGGAAUGUGAGGCCCUAUGCCUUCUAUCUUCAUCAUCCUCAUCCUCUUUCAUCACGAAAGCCUCAUCUCCACCUUCCUCCACAUUGAACAAUUCUUCCGGUUGUGCCAACAAUUUUUUCUGGUGCUCAUCAAUUUAAUACAUUCUCCUUGAAAAAGACAUUGUAAGAACUCAAGAUUUAAAAACGAUAAAGAAUGAUUCUGAGCUAAAAA